Molecule: long non-coding RNA, 217 nt
Organism: Bacillus rossius redtenbacheri
Lineage: Eukaryota; Metazoa; Arthropoda; Insecta; Phasmatodea; Bacillidae
Exons: 2
Source: RefSeq, a predicted model, not a curated record
GCGACGCGCGGCGCCUCAUCAACAGCAACGUGGCUGGAGCGCGCCACCACUUCAUCUCGCUGUGCGACGACCCCGUCUUCCAGGAAGACUACCUGAGGUACGCCUCCUGCUACAAGACGGUGUCGCGCGACUGGGACAGCUGCGCCAACGACUUCAUGCAGCGCGUGGGCCACACGGCGCUGAGGCCCGCCUACUCCCGAGGCGUGGAGGUCUGCUG